RNAcentral lists this long non-coding RNA (330 nucleotides) under Salvia miltiorrhiza (redroot sage). Its description in RNAcentral is "long non-coding RNA (SMIL_LNC009202)". Lineage: Eukaryota; Viridiplantae; Streptophyta; Magnoliopsida; Lamiales; Lamiaceae. The record is from RNAcentral.
UAAUGCUACAGCUAACCUUCUAUUUAUAGAUGUGAGAAUGAGCCCUAAAGGCCUUAGGCCCAUGAACUCUAAUAAUUGAACUUAGGCCCUUUAAUGCCUUAAUACACUUUAAUCUUGACUUGACUCAUCUGCGCUGUCCUUCGUUGCCCAUGUUGAGCAGUUCCCUUGAGAUACACAGGCGAGUCUGUGCUACCGAGUAACUUGAGUAGUCUGCGCUGCCAAGUUCGUUACUUCGUCUGCGCCGCCAAGUUCGUUUCUUCGUCUGCGCCGCCAAGUUCAUUUCUUCGUCUGCGCUGCCAAGUUCAUUUCUUCGUCUGCGCUGCCAAGUUC